This 430-nucleotide ribosomal RNA is filed under the name uncultured bacterium. RNAcentral's name for it is "bacterial SSU rRNA". It matches the Rfam family "Bacterial small subunit ribosomal RNA", at positions 355 to 776 of the family's 1533-position model. The record is from RNAcentral.
UAGGGAAUCUUCGGCAAUGGACGAAAGUCUGACCGAGCAACGCCGCGUGAGUGAAGAAGGUUUUCGGAUCGUAAAACUCUGUUGUUAGAGAAGAACAAGGAUGAGAGUAAAAUGUUCAUCCCUUGACGGUAUCUAACCAGAAAGCCACGGCUAACUACGUGCCAGCAGCCGCGGUAAUACGUAGGUGGCAAGCGUUGUCCGGAUUUAUUGGGCGUAAAGCGAGCGCAGGCGGUUUCUUAAGUCUGAUGUGAAAGCCCCCGGCUCAACCGGGGAGGGUCAUUGGAAACUGGGAGACUUGAGUGCAGAAGAGGAGAGUGGAAUUCCAUGUGUAGCGGUGAAAUGCGUAGAUAUAUGGAGGAACACCAGUGGCGAAGGCGUCUCUCUGGUCUGUAACUGACGCUGAGGCUCGAAAGCGUGGGGAGCGAACAGG